UAUAAAAGGUAUGUUUUGAUGUUAAGGCAGAGUGAUUGAGGUAACUUCGUUAUUAUCAGGUUUGCUUAGAAUACCAACGCAUCAACAACCAGCAGUUGAGAGUUGAACUGUAUGCUGCAUUGGAUCGACACACAGAUCGUUUGCUGGCUAUAGCCAGACAGAUGCAGGGGAAAUUUGGUCAAAGUUCCCAAAAGCUGUCUUCCAUCUUGAAGGAAUAUUCUCAGCAAACACAACACAUAAAUGUGGACCGGAUUGCAGUUCUGCAGUGUCUACCAGUGCUGCUGCAAGAAGACGACACCAAGCUGUUCUACACCUGCAAGGAGGGUGCAGACCAAGGCACUACUCUUCAGAGAUCUGCUGCCAUUGUGUCCGU
Molecule: long non-coding RNA, 373 nt
Organism: Hypomesus transpacificus
Lineage: Eukaryota; Metazoa; Chordata; Actinopteri; Osmeriformes; Osmeridae
Exons: 3
Source: RefSeq, a predicted model, not a curated record